AUGCAGACCAUCAAGGCACGGCUCCUUUCUUCAGUUCCGAUCUGAUCCUGUACCAGCGGUCUAAUCAGGCCUGUGUCUGCCUUCCCCCUGAGUAGAGGCCUCAUCUAAACAGCCUUCCUGCAGCAGCUCUCUUCUAAGUGGCCAGAUGGGAAUUCCAGGCCAGGGUUAUUUCCUAAGACAUUGACACAGCAGCCAAGUUUAUUGGUGCCAGGACCACCACAGUUGGUGUGGCUAGAUCAGAAAUUAUCAUUGGAACAGUGUUUGGUAGCUUGAUGAUUGGCUAUGCUAGAAACACAUAUCUCAAGCAGCAGCUCUUCUCCUUUGCCAUUCUGGGCUUUGCCACUGGGGCUCUUGAUUGACAGUUGCCUUCCUCAUUGUCUUCGCUAUGGAGGCUCCA
This 397-nucleotide long non-coding RNA is filed under the name Mus musculus (house mouse). RNAcentral's name for it is "long non-coding RNA chr2:179993187-179993584". Lineage: Eukaryota; Metazoa; Chordata; Mammalia; Rodentia; Muridae. The record is from RNAcentral.